ACGAACGCUGGCGGCGUGCUUCACACACGCACGUCGAACGGAAAGGCCCUGCUUUUGUGGGGUGCUCGAGUGGCGAACGGGUGAGUAACACGUGAGUAACCUGCCCUUGACUUUGGGAUAACUUCAGGAAACUGGGGCUAAUACCGGAUAGGAGCUCCUGCUGCAUGGUGGGGGUUGGAAAGUUUCGGCGGUUGGGGAUGGACUCGCGGCUUAUCAGCUUGUUGGUGGGGUAGUGGCUUACCAAGGCUUUGACGGGUAGCCGGCCUGAGAGGGUGACCGGCCACAUUGGGACUGAGAUACGGCCCAGACUCCUACGGGAGGCAGCAGUGGGGAAUAUUGCACAAUGGGCGGAAGCCUGAUGCAGCAACGCCGCGUGCGGGAUGACGGCCUUCGGGUUGUAAACCGCUUUCGCCUGUGACGAAGCGUGAGUGACGGUAAUGGGUAAAGAAGCACCGGCUAACUACGUG
RNAcentral lists this ribosomal RNA (467 nucleotides) under uncultured bacterium. Its description in RNAcentral is "partial 16S ribosomal RNA". It matches the Rfam family "Bacterial small subunit ribosomal RNA", at positions 29 to 507 of the family's 1533-position model. The record is from RNAcentral.